This 486-nucleotide ribosomal RNA is filed under the name uncultured bacterium. Its description in RNAcentral is "partial 16S ribosomal RNA". It matches the Rfam family "Bacterial small subunit ribosomal RNA", at positions 30 to 507 of the family's 1533-position model. The record is from RNAcentral.
AUUGAACGCUGGCGGCAUGCCUUACACAUGCAAGUCGAACGGCAGCACGGGUGCUUGCACCUGGUGGCGAGUGGCGAACGGGUGAGUAAUACAUCGGAACAUGUCCUGUAGUGGGGGAUAGCCCGGCGAAAGCCGGAUUAAUACCGCAUACGAUCCACGGAUGAAAGCGGGGGACCUUCGGGCCUCGCGCUAUAGGGUUGGCCGAUGGCUGAUUAGCUAGUUGGUGGGGUAAAGGCCUACCAAGGCGACGAUCAGUAGCUGGUCUGAGGGGACGACCAGCCACACUGGGACUGAGACACGGCCCAGACUCCUACGGGAGGCAGCAGUGGGGAAUUUUGGACAAUGGGCGAAAGCCUGAUCCAGCAAUGCCGCGUGUGUGAAGAAGGACUUCGGGUUGUAAAGCACUUUUGUCCGGAAAGAAAUCCUUGACUCUAAUACAGUCGGGGGAUGACGGUACCGGAAGAAUAAGCACCGGCUAACUACGUG